CGUGUAUGAUGACAUUUUAUUAAUGCUGUAAACUCCCGAGUGCGCAGUGGGGGCUUCAACCUUGGAGAGCUGAGCGUGCG
Small nucleolar RNA from Manis pentadactyla (Chinese pangolin), 80 nucleotides. The record is from RefSeq and is a predicted model, not a curated record. Lineage: Eukaryota; Metazoa; Chordata; Mammalia; Pholidota; Manidae.